This 1284-nucleotide ribosomal RNA is filed under the name Ochthebius sp. IBE<ESP> AN292. RNAcentral's name for it is "16S ribosomal RNA". The stretch from base 1043 to 1201 matches the Rfam family "Archaeal large subunit ribosomal RNA", at positions 2544 to 2703 of the family's 2987-position model. The record is from RNAcentral. Lineage: Eukaryota; Metazoa; Arthropoda; Insecta; Coleoptera; Hydraenidae.
AUUAAAAAAAUUAUACUAAUUUUUUUUAAAUAAAAUAUUAAUAAAUUUUAGUAAAUUAAUCAAGAAAAAAUUAAUUUUAUAAUAAAUUAAAGUAUAGUGAUAGAAUUUUAUAAUAGAAUUUUUAAAUUUUUUAAAGAAUAAUUAAAUUUUAGUACCUUGUGUAUCAGGGUUGAUUAAAUUAAAAUUAAAUAAUUUAAUUUUCUCGAAUUUAAAAGAUUUAAAAAAUUAUAUUUUUUAUUGUGAAAUAAAUAUUAAAAAUAAUUUUUUAGUAAUGAAACGUUAUUCGUUUUUAAAUAUAUCUAGUUUUUUAAGAAAUAAAUUUAAUUUAUUAAUUAAUUUUAUUUUAUUUAUAUUUUAUAAAUAAAAAGUAUUAAUUAAAAAUUUUUUAAGGGAUAAGCUUUAAAAUAAAUUUAUAUAAAUUUUUAAAAUUUAAUUGAAUAAAAGUAGAAUUAAAAAUUUUUAUCAUUUAUAAUUUGUUAUAAUUAAUAUUUUUAAUUAAAUUAUUUUUAUUAAUUUUAUAUUUUUUAUUAAAAUAAUUAAUUAAAUUUUAUUAUUAAUGUAAUAAUGAUUAAAUUAGUAUAAUAUAAUUGUAGUUUUAUAAAAUAAAUAAAGAUUAAAUUAAGGAAUUCGGCAAAAUUAAUUUUUCGCCUGUUUAUUAAAAACAUGUCUUUUUGUAUAAAAUUUAAAGUCUAACCUGCCCAAUGAUUAAUUUAAUGGCUGCGGUAUUUUGACCGUACAAAGGUAGCAUAAUCAUUAGUUUUUUAAUUGAAAACUUGUAUGAAUGGUUGAACGAGAAAGUUACUGUCUCAAUUUAAAUUGAUUAUAAUUUUAUUUUUAAGUAAAAAAGCUUAAAUUUUAUUAAAAGACGAGAAGACCCUAUAGAGUUUAAUAAAUAUUAAGUUUUAAUUUUAAGAAUUAGUAUUUGUUUAAUAUUUAUUUUAUUGGGGUGAUAAAUAAAUUUAAUAAACUUUAUUUUUUUUUACUCAUUGAUUUAUGAAUUAUUGAUCCAAUUAUUUUGAUUAAAAGAUUAAAUUACCUUAGGGAUAACAGCGUAAUUUUUUUUAAGAGUUCUUAUCGAAAAAAAAGAUUGCGACCUCGAUGUUGGAUUAAAAUUAAUUUUUGGUGUAGAAGCUAAAAUAUUAAGUCUGUUCGACUUUUAAUUUUUUACAUGAUCUGAGUUUAAAUCGGUGUGAGCCAGAUUGGUUUCUAUCUUUAAUUAAAAUAAAUAUUUUAGUACGAAAGGACCAAAUAUUAAUAAAAUUUAUUUUUUUUUGAAUAUUAAUA